Molecule: ribosomal RNA, 465 nt
Filed under: Vreelandella stevensii
Lineage: Bacteria; Pseudomonadati; Pseudomonadota; Gammaproteobacteria; Oceanospirillales; Halomonadaceae
Description: partial 16S ribosomal RNA
Rfam family: Bacterial small subunit ribosomal RNA
Source: RNAcentral
CCUACGGGUGGCAGCAGUGGGGAAUAUUGGACAAUGGGGGGAACCCUGAUCCAGCCAUGCCGCGUGUGUGAAGAAGGCCCUCGGGUUGUAAAGCACUUUCAGUGAGGAAGAACGCCUGGUGGUUAAUACCCAUCAGGAAAGACAUCACUCACAGAAGAAGCACCGACUAACUCCGUGCCAGCAGCCGCGGUAAUACGGAGGGUGCGAGCGUUAAUCGGAAUUACUGGGCGUAAAGCGCGCGUAGGUGGCUUGAUAAGCCGGUUGUGAAAGCCCCGGGCUCAACCUGGGAACGGCAUCCGGAACUGUCAAGCUAGAGUGCAGGAGAGGAAGGUAGAAUUCCCGGUGUAGCGGUGAAAUGCGUAGAGAUCGGGAGGAAUACCAGUGGCGAAGGCGGCCUUCUGGACUGACACUGACACUGAGGUGCGAAAGCGUGGGUAGCAAACAGGAUUAGAUACCCUUGUAGUC